RNAcentral lists this transfer RNA (73 nucleotides) under Chloroflexota bacterium. RNAcentral's name for it is "Chloroflexi bacterium (groundwater metagenome) tRNA-Glu". It matches the Rfam family "tRNA". Rfam says of the family: Transfer RNA (tRNA) molecules are approximately 80 nucleotides in length. Their secondary structure includes four short double-helical elements and three loops (D, anti-codon, and T loops). Lineage: Bacteria; Bacillati; Chloroflexota. The record is from RNAcentral.
GCCUCCAUCGUCUAGGGGACUAGGACGUAGCCCUUUCAAGGCUAAGACCGGAGUUCGAAUCUCCGUGGAGGCA